AGAGUUUGAUCCUGGCUCAGGAUGAACGCUGGCGGCGUGUCUAAGGCAUGCAAGUCGAACGCAUUUCGUAGCAAUACGAGAUGAGUGGCAAACGGGUGCGUAACACAUUGGUAACCUGCCCUCCGAAGGGGAAUAACCUCGCGAAAGCGAGCCUAAUACCCCAUAGUAUGCUCGAUCGCAAGAUUGAUCAUUAAAGGCGCAAGCCGACGGAGGAGGGACCUAUGGUCUAUCAGCUAGUUGGUAGGGUAGUGGCCUACCAAGGCGAUGACGGAUAGCGGGCGUGAGAGCGCGACCCGCCUCACUGGGACUGAGACACUGCCCAGACUCCUACGGGAGGCUGCAGUCAAGAAUAUUCCCCAAUGGCCGAAAGGCUGAGGGAGCGACGCCGCGUGUAGGAAGAAGCUUUUCGGAGUGUAAACUACUUUUCUGUGGGAAAAAUUAAUGAUGGUACCACAGGAAUAAGGGGCUGCUAACUUCGUGCCAGCAGCAGCGGUAAUACGAAGGCCCCGAGCGUUAUCCGGAUUUAUUGGGCGUAAAGAGCUCAACGGUGGCUCAUCAAGUCUUUGGUUAAAUUUUGAUGCUCAACAUCAAAGCUGCCAGAGAAACUAGUGAGCUAGAGGACAGAAGAGGCAGACGGAAUUGCCGGUGUAGUAGUAAAAUGCGUUAAUAUCGGCAAGAACACCAAUUGCGAAGGCAGUCUGCUGGGAUGCUCCUGACACUUCACGAGCGAAAGCGUGGGUAGCGAUACGGAUUAGAUACCCGUGUAGUCCACGCCGUAAACGAUGGAUACUAGGCAUUGGAAGUAUCGACCCUUUCAGUGUCGUUUUGAAAGCUAACGCCUUAAGUAUCCCGCCUGGGUAGUACGGCCGCAAGGCUAAAACUCAAAGGAAUUGACGGGAACCCGCACAAGCGGUGGAGCAUGUGGUUUAAUUCGACGAUAACCGAGGAACCUUACCAGGGUUAGAAAUCCUAGCUGCACAUCCUGUGAAAACAGGACUCCUUUGAGGGUGCUAGGACAGGUGCUGCAUGGCUGUCGUCAGCUCAUGUCGUGAGAUUUCGGGUUAAGUCCUUUAAUGAGCGCAACCCUUAUGGUAUGUUAAAUAUUCAUACCAAACCGCCCCGGAUAACGGGGAGGAAGGUGGGGAUGACGUCAAGUCAGCAUGGUCCUCUGACACCCUGGGCUACACACGUGCUACAAUGGAUAGUAACAAUGGGUCGCUAAAUCGCAAGAUGGAGCUAAUCCCAUCAAACCUAUCCUCAGUUCGGAUUGAGGGCUGCAACUCGCCCUCAUGAAGCUGGAAUCGCUAGUAAUCGCAGAUCAGCUAUGCUGCGGUGAAUACGUUCUCGGGUUUUGUACACACCGCCCGUCACGCCAAGAGAGUCGGUAAUACCCGAAGAUUAGUCGCAAGACUGAUUGAAGGUAGGACCGAUGAUAGGGGCGAAGUCGUAACAAGGCA
RNAcentral lists this ribosomal RNA (1457 nucleotides) under metagenome. RNAcentral's name for it is "bacterial SSU rRNA". It matches the Rfam family "Bacterial small subunit ribosomal RNA". The record is from RNAcentral.